UACGUAGGGGGCCCAGCGUUGUCCGGAUUUAUUGGGCGUAAAGAGCGCGUAGGCGGCCGGAUAAGUCCGACGUGAAAUCUCGAGGCUCAACCUCGAGCGGUCGUUGGAAACUAUUCGGCUAGAGUCCGGAAGAGGAGAGUGGAAUUCCCGGUGUAGCGGUGAAAUGCGCAGAUAUCGGGAAGAACACCUAUGGCGAAGGCAGCUCUCUGGGACGGUACUGACGCUGAGGCGCGAAAGCGUGGGGAGCGAACAGGAUUAGAUACCCCUGUAGU
This 272-nucleotide ribosomal RNA is filed under the name uncultured archaeon. RNAcentral describes it as "partial 16S ribosomal RNA". It matches the Rfam family "Bacterial small subunit ribosomal RNA", at positions 524 to 794 of the family's 1533-position model. The record is from RNAcentral.